GAUGGAAGUGGUCAAUAAAAGGGAAAUUGAAGCAAAAAAUUCUGCACUUUAGGUAUGAGUGUGUGCGUAGAACAUCAGGAGAAACACAAAGGGAGCCAAAACCCUUGUUCAUCAAGAAUCACUAAAUUGGUGAUGAAUUUAUGAUCCAAUCUUAUGCAUGAAUGAAGAAUUAUCAUCAUCUCAACCUUACAAACAUAUGUAUAGGAUCAUGUCAAGGUGGGUGGAAGCGUGGAAGGCUAACGGGAAGGAUGCGAGGAAGCAAGUACGAAACGGACGCUUAAGGUUAGUCAGAUAUUCAUGAUGGACAAGUGAACGAGGGUCGAGUUGAAGAUCAUGGAUUGUACGGGAAAGCGGUCACGUUGUUUGUAACUAUUUGUUAACAUAGUUACAUUAAAUAAAUGAU
Molecule: long non-coding RNA, 403 nt
Organism: Helianthus annuus (common sunflower)
Lineage: Eukaryota; Viridiplantae; Streptophyta; Magnoliopsida; Asterales; Asteraceae
Exons: 4
Source: RefSeq, a predicted model, not a curated record